UACGUAGGGUGCGAGCGUUAAUCGGAAUUACUGGGCGUAAAGUGUGCGCAGGCGGCUUUGCAAGACAGAUGUGAAAUCCCCGGGCUCAACCUGGGAACUGCAUUUGUGACUGUAUAGCUAGAGUACGGUAGAGGGGGAUGGAAUUCCGCGUGUAGCAGUGAAAUGCGUAGAUAUGCGGAGGAACACCAAUGGCGAAGGCAAUCCCCUGGGCCUGUACUGACGCUCAUGCACGAAAGCGUGGGGAGCAAACAGG
Molecule: ribosomal RNA, 253 nt
Filed under: uncultured bacterium
Lineage: Bacteria
Description: partial 16S ribosomal RNA
Rfam family: Bacterial small subunit ribosomal RNA
Source: RNAcentral